This 1510-nucleotide long non-coding RNA is filed under the name Cyanistes caeruleus (blue tit). RNAcentral's name for it is "lncRNA (ENSCCEG00000001015.1)". The record is from RNAcentral. Lineage: Eukaryota; Metazoa; Chordata; Aves; Passeriformes; Paridae.
GGAAACAUCAUAAGGAUACAUGAUGUGGUCUGUAUUUCCCCUUACAUCCUUGACAGCAGUCAGUCUGUAUUUAUAAAAGGAGACUACACUAGAAAAUUUAAAAAAAAAUGGAUUCAAGGCCUUGAUUAUGACAAAGCAAAGAUUAAAGUGACAGUAGCUUUUAUUACAGUGCUAUGCUUCUGUAAAUUAAGUCUGAAGCUUCAUUAGGCACAAAAAAGAUGGAGGCAUUUUCAUAAUGUUUUUUAAGCUAACAAUAUGAUUUAUUCUCAUAGAUAAUUAAUUUAAAAAAAUUCUUUCUUUAUGGCAGUUUUGCAUUGGCUGCAACAACUUGUGCAACAAAAUGUGGAGAAGCAUGUUAGUAAUUUUUUUUCCCGUUUGGUAUCUUCUACAAGCAGGAUCCCAUUCCUGAGCCCUAGAUUCACUUACACAUGACAUUAAAACUUCAAAGCAGGACUGCAGGAAACAACAAUUUUCUGAAGGCAGCAAAGGCUUAGUUAUGAGACUGCAAAGAGAAGCCAAAAUGAAGAACAUCUGCCUGAAUGCAGCCAAACACACACUGCAGCAAACCCAGAAGCACAGGCUGAAGUGUCAGACCUCAGUUCUUCAGCCUGCAUUCCCCAAUGGAUGGUUACACAUCAACUGCAGUCCCAUAGUUGUAUGACUGAAAUAGUAAAUGAAAGCAAAAAUCUUGCAACUUAAGUGAUAUUAUACUCACAUUUUAGUAUUGUAGUUAGUCAAUUUAUUGGUUUAAAAAAGAGACUGAAGUAUUUUAUUCUGUGACAAUUUAAGGACCUCUGUCACAUUUGAGCCCUCUUGUUUUUCACAUCACUGAUGUCAAAGCUUGAUGUAGGUGACCUUUGGACAAUAAGGGUCUGUUAUUUUUGGUGGCAAUAUUAGUCCAGGUGCUAAUGCUUAGAUACCCUGAUGAAGGAGAAAGAGUAACAAGGAGUGGUUCUUCUAUGGAAAAAAUCUGUGCUCUGUGUGGCACAUCUUGAUUAAGGAUGGAUAGCUGUGGCCUCAUUUCAAAGCAUGGGUGGAGAGAUUUGCUCAUUUUAGCACGUGUUUUUAAUUUCUAUUCACUGGAGCUGCGACGUUCUCGAGCCCACUGCGUGGUUAUGCUAGGAAGCGUGGCUCUGCUCUGGUGCUGAAGGCAGGCUGUUCUUUGGGUGCAGUGGGAUCUGUUUCUCAUUCCUAGGCAUGUAAAAUGCCCAGGCCUGUAGGAUAUGGCUCAGCUCCCUUUCUCAACAAUUCAGUGAUGACAACUACAUUAACAUAUUUGGGUAUUAGUUGUUUUAGUACUGCCAAAUAUCAAAGGUUUGGUGGAAAGAUGCUGCCAUAAGAACUUCUAUGAAGAGACACAAUACUGUUUUGUAAGAGCUGUGGAGCCAAAGCCAGCAGCUGUAUCUCACCAUUGAAACAAUCACGGAGAGGUUACUGAAAUAACUAAGAAAAUUUAUCAGAAAAAGAACAUCUUGGAACUACAGUUAUUUCCCUAAGUUCUUUUAAAGAU